UACGUAGGGUGCGAGCGUUGUCCGGAAUUAUUGGGCGUAAAGAGCUUGUAGGCGGUUUGUCGCGUCUGCCGUGAAAAUCCGGGGCUCAACCCCGGACUUGCGGUGGGUACGGGCAGACUAGAGUGUGGUAGGGGAGACUGGAAUUCCUGGUGUAGCGGUGAAAUGCGCAGAUAUCAGGAGGAACACCGAUGGCGAAGGCAGGUCUCUGGGGCCACUACUGACGCUGAGAAGCGAAAGCGUGGGGGAGCGAAACAGG
RNAcentral lists this ribosomal RNA (256 nucleotides) under uncultured bacterium. Its description in RNAcentral is "partial 16S ribosomal RNA". It matches the Rfam family "Bacterial small subunit ribosomal RNA", at positions 524 to 776 of the family's 1533-position model. The record is from RNAcentral.